CCCUGGGGCAACUCUUGUACAUUCCUUCAAUGCCUGCCCUGGGGGCCCAUAUCCCAGGCUUGAGUGCAGCAAAAGGACCCAUGCUUCCAUCCCCCUGGCGGCUCCAGGGACCAGCAGGGGCGGCAGGGCAGGCCUGACCUUCAUACACAGUUCCCUGCACACACUUGGCCAAAUGUGACCAGGGUGAGAGCGGGCGCAGUGGGGAAGGAUGUGGGAGGAAGGGUCAAGGGCCUCUGGUGACUCAUGAUGUGGGCUCAGGGAGUGUUUGCUGAGCCAACAUGUCAGGCUCGAAAAGAGGAUCACCAGAGGCUGAAGUGCGGGGGCCUCAUGAGAAUCGAGGUACACCAGGAGCUCAGAGAGGCCGGUGUGUUGGAGUGGGAAGAGGCUGUCACACUGAGAUGAUCUCUGGGCAGAGAAACUGGACGGAGAAGGCCUGAGCUUCAGAAACAGCCCCUUCCCCAGCUUCAAGGUGGCCGUGCUCUGUUCUGAAAGAUGUCUGAUCUUUCCCGCCAAAGAAAUAAAAACAUUGUCGAAAA
This 536-nucleotide long non-coding RNA is filed under the name Rhinopithecus bieti (black snub-nosed monkey). Its description in RNAcentral is "lncRNA (ENSRBIG00000046635.1)". The record is from RNAcentral. Lineage: Eukaryota; Metazoa; Chordata; Mammalia; Primates; Cercopithecidae.